AGAAAACAUUUUUCAUUUUUUCAUUUUUAUUUUAUAUUGGAGGAUAGCUGAUUUACAAUGUUGUGUUAGUUUCAAGUGUACAGCAAAAUAAUUCAGUUAUACAUAUACAUAUAUAUAUCCAUUCUUUUCCAGAUUCUUUUUAGGACGGGAACAAUUUGAAGGAUUCUGAGGCUGGAAAUGGCAUGAUCAACUCUGUUCUUUGUAAAGAUAAUUCUGGAAACUUUGUGCAGGAUGAACAAAAAGAAGACAUGAACAUCUGCGAGAACAGAGGUGUGUCCUGGUGGUCUGUGGCUGAAAGGCAGUGACAGCCGUGGAGCUGAAGCCCUCACUGCUUCUGACUGGAACCUGGACCCAGGAACCCUCCAUAAAGCUCUUGUUGGAGACACCAACUUGGUUGGGAGGAUUCCUACAAUAACCCUGUAAGGAAGAUAACACAGGCUUUCAUCAUUAACCUCAAUUAUAGAUAAGAAAACUGAAGCACAGUGAAGUUAAAUGAUUUGUCCAAAGCCUCCAACCCGGAACACCAAGUGCUGAACCUAUUCAUUCAUUCAUUCAUUCAUGUGCCAGGUACUGUGGCACUGUUCCAAGCACUGGGAUAGAGGCUGAAGAACACAGUGGUGGAUUAUACAAAGCCUUAUUCUACUUGGAGAGACAGGAAAUAAACAAAUGCGUAAUAUAAUGUUACCAAGCGACAGUGCUACGAAGCAACAUUAAGGAAGGUAAGAGACACAGAGAGAGGCUGGGUUCUCUCUUAAAUGGAGUAGUCAGAGAUUCUGCAGCCUAAGCCCUAGAGUACUGAGUACUUUCACCUCUGCUCCAUACUCCAGACUCAUACUGCUGAAGGAAGCUAAUGGUCCUGAAAUAUUAUGUAACCCUCUCCUUUUGCAGAUGCUGCCCAGGGCUUAGAAUGUGCACAUCUGAGCACCAGAACCCGUCCAGCACAAGAUCCCCCCACUCCCCGGCCAUCCAGGCUACAGGUAGCUCUCUUUAAACUCCCACAAAGGUGGACUGCCUUUUUCACAUAUAGAUUAUAAACUCCUUAGAGGCAAGAAGCACUUGUACAUGGUUUACAAUAAGUAUAAGCCAAUUAAUCAGUUGACUGAUGGGUAGCAUAAAAGCAAUUGAAAGAAAUGGAAGACUGUUCCCCUUAUUCAAUAGUCAUAAAGAUGCCAGUCAAUUCAUUGGAGAGAUUUUCAGAUCUAUAGGGUCUCUCCCCAAAAAAGCCUAACCUCUCACCAUUCCCUAAAUCCCAGGAGCUCCCCUCCUACACAAACCCAUUGGGUAGCCCCCACUAGAAAACCAGAUCAGUCCAGGUUACAGUAAGUAAGGUAGCUGGGUCAAUUGGUGACAUUUCUGCCAAGAGUGGAGAGCGGCAGAGGGGUGUGAAAUGGAGACAGAAUUAGUCCUGAAUUAUUAAAAUCAAUCCACGGAGUUACUGAGUGGAAACUGACUAUGGAGUAAGUGACAAAGACAAAAUGCGUUCAGCUACUUUGCGUUACCGGUUUAAUUUUCACAAAUAUCUCUCAGUCAUAUAUUUAUUUGAAAAACUUUUUAUUGAUAGCACCAUUGAACAUCUUCACUUUUAAAGGUAUGCGUCUGUGCAUACAUCACUGGGGGACUUCACAUGCAAUUAGCGAUGAGUUAUUGAAACUUUGUGUCUUAGGGUUUUAAUAAUUCCCCCAAAUGUGACAAUUAUACUUUGGCAAAAUCACCUGUGAGGACAGAAGGAAGACUUUAAGCAACAAAACUCCACAAUACUGUAACAUAAUUUCAGACCUCCAGGAAGGGGUUAUUCUCCCUUGAAAAUCAUCAUCCUUUCCAGAUUAUUCCCAUCAGAACUCAGAGGAGGUUCAGUGUCUCUGGCCUGGCUUUGUACCAAGAGGAGCCCACUGACCCAUCUAGCAAUAAGCAAGAAAGUUCCACGUAAACAAAAAAGUCCAGAAUGAAACACCUGAAAAGUUCCAGAAAAAAAUGCACAUUUCCAUUAGCUAAACUCCAAAUUCAUAAGAACAUUGAGAUUACAGUGAGGAUUAGGGUCUGAGGCAAGUUCCAUUUGAGCAGCUACUUCCCCGAUUCAACAGCUUCAUUCCUGUUUUAUUCCUGUGGCUAAUCACAUGUAAAUACACUCAGAAGCACAAAUAGGUGACAAUUUAUCAAGUGAACGACAAGGGCUAUACAAUAGGCAUGCUUACUCAGCCUAAAUUAGAAACCCAGAUUAGGUUGCGUUUCGUCGUUUUUUUUAAACCAGUCUUUUUUGCGAUCUUUAAUUGCAAGAGUGUGAAGAUACAUUACACGCGGGGUAAUUUAAAAACAGGAAAUGUAUUUUGUACUCUUGGAAAAAAAUGGAUAUGAUUUGGCAAAGGAUUAAGUGAGUCAUGAACAAUAAAAAAAUGUUUUUAACAUCCGAAUUUGUCAUAGCACUAAGAUGCGCUGUUUGUCAGAAACCAGUAACAAAAAAAUAUCGUAAGUUUAAAAUUGGUAGGAAAUUAAACACCUUAACUCCAAGAAUCAAUUGUGCUGAUGUAACCCCUUCU
Delphinapterus leucas (beluga whale) is the source of this 2534-nucleotide non-coding RNA. NCBI's taxonomy places the organism in Eukaryota, Metazoa, Chordata, Mammalia, Artiodactyla, Monodontidae. The record is from RefSeq and is a predicted model, not a curated record.